Molecule: transfer RNA, 65 nt
Filed under: Conus ebraeus
Lineage: Eukaryota; Metazoa; Mollusca; Gastropoda; Neogastropoda; Conidae
Description: tRNA-Cys
Source: RNAcentral
CUCACUGUAGUUUACUAUAAAACGUCGACUUGCAAAAUCGAAAAAGGAUAAAUAUCUCAGUGUGU